UAGGGAAUCUUCGGCAAUGGACGGAAGUCUGACCGAGCAACGCCUCGUGAGUGAAGAAGGUUUUCGGAUCGUAAAGCUCUGUUGUUAGAGAAGAACGUUGGUAGGAGUGGAAAAUCUACCAAGUGACGGUAACUAACCAGAAAGGGACGGCUAACUACGUGCCAGCAGCCGCGGUAAUACGUAGGUCCCGAGCGUUGUCCGGAUUUAUUGGGCGUAAAGCGAGCGCAGGCGGUUCUUUAAGUCUGAAGUUAAAGGCAGUGGCUUAACCAUUGUACGCUUUGGAAACUGGAGGACUUGAGUGCAGAAGAGGAGAGUGGAAUUCCAUGUGUAGCGGUGAAAUGCGUAGAUAUAUGGAGGAACACCGGUGGCGAAAGCUGCUCUCUGGUCAGUAACUGACGCAGAGGCUCGAAAGCGUGGGGAGCAAACAGG
This 429-nucleotide ribosomal RNA is filed under the name Bacillota bacterium. Its description in RNAcentral is "Firmicutes bacterium partial 16S ribosomal RNA". It matches the Rfam family "Bacterial small subunit ribosomal RNA", at positions 355 to 776 of the family's 1533-position model. Lineage: Bacteria; Bacillati; Bacillota. The record is from RNAcentral.